Molecule: microRNA precursor, 71 nt
Organism: Bos grunniens (domestic yak)
Lineage: Eukaryota; Metazoa; Chordata; Mammalia; Artiodactyla; Bovidae
Source: Ensembl
UUGGCUGAAAAGUUCGUUUGGUUUUUUCCACAAGAUGUUAGAGAAAGAACCUGAUUGAACUUUUUGGCCAA